GCUAACAUCUCAUGCCUUCUCAGUACCCUUAUAAAAUAAUCCUUUGUUUACUAGAAUAAUUAUAAUUUAUGCCAUUCUAUACUAUUGACCGACCAACAUCAUAUAUAGAAAGCAAUUUUAAUAUAAGGCUUUAUAACUUGGUUAAACUUUUUUUCUUUCUUGAGCAACUAUAACUUGGUUAACCAACCACCGGUUUAGUUUAUGGUUUUUUUUUUCUUUCGGUUUAGUGUUUGUUUACAUAUUAAUUUAGGGAAAUUGGGAGCUAUAGACAUGAAAAAAAGGUAAUUCACCCUAUAGCACUUUUACCUAACAGAUGUAUAGACAGCGUCAAUAAUACAUAAUAAUACUAUCCUACCUUUUCCCUUUCACCGGCUAACCUGCUACAAUUAAAAAAAAAAAUUAUACCUUUUACUGUCCAAAGUAAAUCGUGUAUUCUCCCAUUCCACACACCUUCUCCUUCUCGCUUUCUUCGUCGGUUCUCUCUGAAAUUCCA
Molecule: long non-coding RNA, 493 nt
Filed under: Brassica rapa (field mustard)
Lineage: Eukaryota; Viridiplantae; Streptophyta; Magnoliopsida; Brassicales; Brassicaceae
Description: long non-coding RNA (BRAP_LNC002552)
Source: RNAcentral